This 7653-nucleotide long non-coding RNA is filed under the name Lactuca sativa (garden lettuce). Its description in RNAcentral is "long non-coding RNA (LSAT_LNC003656)". Lineage: Eukaryota; Viridiplantae; Streptophyta; Magnoliopsida; Asterales; Asteraceae. The record is from RNAcentral.
UCAUUUCUUCAAUAAUCUGUGCAACAAAUAACUACUUUUAAUUAACAAGGUUAAAAAAGGAAAGAAAAAGAUGAGAAAUGACAGGUGGCAUACCUCCCAUAACCAUGAUAUUUGAGGAUCAGUUUCCUUAUACCCAUAAUACUCGGUAUGCUUCUUCCAAUCUUCCACUGAAAUAAUACUUUCACUUCCAUACAACAUUCCAUCAAGAUCCUCACAUUCUAAGCUUUUAAAAAACAAUUUCCUUAUUUUUUCUUCUCCAGCAAUAUCUGUAAACCCUUUAGCAAAAUAUGACACCUGUUCUGAAACAGAUGUCACAAACCUAUGCUCGAUAAGAAGAUCAACAUACUCCUUCCUGUUUCUACUAUUCACAACAAUGUUUUUUCCAUCUGCAAAAAGCUCCACAACUUUUCUUGAUCCUAGUUCUUCAAUUUCUCUAACGAAUGUUAACCCAAGGGCAUCUUCGUCAACUGUAGUGGGGUCCAUGUCUAAUAUCUGUUUGCAGCUGCUGUAUAAGUAUGGAUCUGCAUCUUUUAUGUCUUCUAAAGAGAUUGUGUUUCCUGAUAAUUGUGAGAAAAAUGAUCGAUCAAAUGCAAUUCCAACUUGGAUUUUGUGCAUUAAAGCUAGUGCGAUUAUUCUUCCUGCAAAGUUGAAGUAUUCAAGGUGCAAUGGGUCCACUUUAGAUGCUGCAAACUCAACAGAAUUCAAGAAGUCAGGAAGUCAAGAAGUAAUUCCAUGUCGUAAAGAAUGGUUUUUUUUAUUGGAAGUUUGAUAAAGAUUACCUGGAUUGGGGAAGAAUCUUCGCCGGUCAUUAGGGCAAGCAACAAAAAGGGCAUUUUGGGGAUUAAAGAUUUCUUGACAAACUAAGAAGAACCAUUCACGUAAGACACCAGGACCUGUAGCUUCUUCAUUUUUGAACUCCAUGAAUAAUCCACCACGAAGAGUAUCAGGAUCUACACGUGCAAUGUACUCAAAAGAUUCAGCUAACAACUGAGAUCUGUCAAUAAGCAUCUCAUGAAGCUCAUCAUAUUCAUCUUUCAUUUCUGGAAGCAACAUCAAUACCAAAUGCCUCCUGGAUUCGAAGUCGAUAACAUCUUUAUGUCCAAGAAUCCAUUUGUAAUCCUCGCCUCUUUUAGCAUAUUUAACAAUCAGAUAGCAUAAUGAGACCUUGUUCCUUUUCAAAUUUUCCCAAAAGAAAUCUUCUGCACCUUGGUAUAGUUUGGAAAUGCUUCGCAGUUCCUUCAAGAUUGAAAGAUAAGAAUCCCAUCCGAAGUAUCCUUUCUUUUCUGUAGCUAAGUAACUCUCUAUUUUAUCAAGACACAUUUGAACUUUCUCAAAAAGCUCAAUGAAGAUCAUGUAUAGAAGUUUGAUUUCAUCACUGCCACAAGGGAGGGUGGAGGUGGACUUACUUGGUAUUGGUAUGAUUCCCUCAAACUCUGUCUGAUCUUUGAUUGCAGCCUUGAGAGGACGCAAGAAUGAAGCGAACUCAAGGACAUCACUUGGUGAAGGACAGACAUCAUCUAUGGCUUCCACACUGGAAAUCAAACCCUCUGUUAGGUUGUUUGCAAGCUCAGCCACAUAUGGAAGAAUGUCCUGAACUGUAAUGAUUACAGGUUUAUUACUGCUGUUAUCAUAAUUCCGAGAGCUUCUUCCAAUUCUAAGAUACUCCACCAUUGAUCCUAGACUACUCCGGCAAUCUUCAUACAAAGGAUCUGAUCUUCCUGAAACUCUACAGAGCAAUUUACAGAACUCUAAUGCUAUAGGCGCACACUGUGAAUAUAUAGGUCUUGACAGUGUAUGUUUACUAGAAUUAAGGAGAUGUCGAAUUGAUUCUUGAGCACACUCUUUGUUACCUGCAUGAGGCGACAUGUAGAGCAUCAUCAGGGCUGCUGGAGCACAUAACGAUUGAAAUAUAUUCAGAUGAGGCGCCGGUUGAUCAUCCCCGAUAUCAUACUUGGCAGUCAUGUUCAAGAACUCUGUUAACCGCGAUUUCACAGACUUCAGACAAAGGCCCUUUUCUCCUUUGCACAACCUGUAAAUCGUCGAAACCAAAUCAUCAAUCAACUGCCACGCUUGCGGAUGCUCCGUACUCCGCAUUCGACCAACCAAAUGCAAGCCUGCGUCGUUAUUUAUCUUACACUCAGCCAAACUAUAAUCCCACUGAAGCUGCCGUCCUCGAUAAAUCAACCGCUGCUCGACCAUCGGAAUUCCGGUGGCGGCCUGGAUUUUCUCGUGGAUUAAUUUGACUUUGUCGUCUGGUUUUCCAUGGAGAACUAAGGUUUUGGCUUCGGAGAUCAUACGAACGAAGAAUUGGAUACGAUCAGGAUACCAUACGAAGGCGGAGUGUUGGGUGGAACUGGAACUGGAAGUAGAAGCCCUAGUUUGGAAGUGAGGGUGUUGACGAGUGAUUUGAUCAAGGAAAGGAUUACUGGAAGCGGUGGCGGGAGGAGAAUUAGGGUUAGGAUCAUCCUUUCUCAUCCUGAAGGCGGGUAAGUCGUAGGAGAGAUCGUCGUAUUCGUCGUCGUCGUAAUCUUCGAACUUGCGUUUGAUUCGCUGGUGAAGAAAUUCGACGGACGGAGAGUCUGGAGAAGACAUUGACGGUUGGCCGGCGGGAAGGGGUUUACCAUGAAACCAUCAAACAACAACUUAUGAGAAAGAGAUUUGUAUAUCGCUUCGCUGGGUUUUACAGAGAGAGAUGAUGAGAUCAACGCGACCCGUCUUUACUUGCUGAGAGUAAUCUUACAGUAAUUGCCUAAAAGGCAUUAAUAAUUAAACUAAAGGAAAUUUGACUGAUCUAACCAUUUUUUGGUCUAUCUUUCACAAAAAUAACUUAUUUAGAUUGAUUUUGCCAAAAUAACAUUUUUAUCUAGAAUGGAUUAUUUAGGAAAUAAUUUCGGACUCCAUGUUAUCUGAAUCGCCCCUCAAAUACCUUAUGAAAUAUAUUCAUUCCAGAGUAACACAGUACAUAUUCCAAACUUCGAAUUUCAAAUUCAUUUUCGGAUUAUAUUUCGAUAAAUUCCAGAUCUCGAAUUACAAGCGCAUUCCGAUCUCCAACACGCUCUCCAAUAUUCCAACCCACUCGAAGACACAUUUUGAACUCCGACCUAAGAUAUGGAAUAUGAUCACGAUGACCUAGUUGUUUUACGAGCAAGUCAUUUACUCUUAUAUUGUUAUGGUUUAAUUUUAACAUAUUUUGUUUUUAGAACUUCAUCUGGAAUGCAAAGAACAGCUCCGAAAUGAACCGGCAACGUUCCAGAGUAGCAAUACAUGUUGAUAGUACAUUAAGACCAACCCAACAAUAGUUUAGUUGUUUAUAUUAUGUUAUUAACUUAUUAUACAUAGAAAAUAAGUAUUUCAGAACAAAAAAAAUGCAUUCCUGAAUGCUCCAGAAUGCUCGGGAACGCGAGAAUAAUAAUAAUAAUAAUAAUAAUAAUAAUAAUAAUAAUAAUACAUUUUAUCGAACAAUUAAAAUCAUUGAAUAAGGUAAUUGUUCUUCGUACACGUUACAAACUAUAUAAAUAUUAUCGUAUACAAAUAUUAUAAGUAUAUAAUAUUUGUAGAAAAUUUUAAUAUAAAAUUUAUCGUUAAACGAUAAAAUAACAUUUUGAUAAAGCAUACUUAUGAUAAAUGAUAUAAACAAAAUUCAUAGUAAUCGUAAUUACUAAGCCUUGAGUAUAAAAAAACGUCAAAAUAUGACUUCGUAUGAAGAAGUUAAGAUUUUACAAAGUUUCGCAUUCGACACGAUAACACGUGUUAACACCACAUACUAACCUUAGUCCUUAUGUUGAAGACACAGCACACCCAUUUAUAGGCAUGGCGUGCCUUUCUUCUAGCCUCUAUAAAUGGUGCAGAUUUUGCUUCAUUUGGUGCUUAUUUACUCUCUUUUUUCUCUUAAUGCAACAUCCCGAUUUUUAACCCAAAAUUUUCAUUUUUAUUUAGUUAAAUAUAUCAUAGUAUAAUUACAUUAGGCGGAAACAUAUUACGAAUGAACGUGUGUACAAUCGAACCUUGCCCUAUCACGCAUCAAUGAGGUACCUGAAAAACAUUUAUAUGCAACUGGGCAAGCAUGAAGCUUAAUUAGUUCCUCCAAAAUACCACAUACCACAAUACAUAUACAAUGCAUACAUAUUAUGGCCUUCAGCAUAAACCUGGUCCGCCCUUGGCCUUCAGCACGAAGCCGAUCCACCCUUUUUCCUUCAACAUAAAGUUGGUCCGCUACUUGACCUUCAGCAUAAAGUUGGUCUGCCCGAGUCUAUUAGCCUUCACCUUGAGGUUGGGUCGCCUUAAACUCCCUACAUAAUAUUUUAACACAUAUAAACACUACAACAUGUAAUAAUCCAAUACUACAUGCAACUAACAGAACUAGCCUAAUGACAUACUAUAGGGAAAUUAUAUGCGAACAUACAGAGGAUAUAUCAUGGAGCACAUAAUAUAGUGAGAAAACUCACCUAGACAGUUAUCAUUCUCAGCCACACAUUUAUUUUGGUUUUUGGAUGGAUAGAAAGGUAAUACACAUGUGUAAAUCUAACUGGGGUUUCCCAUCUAGCUAGCUUAAGGAUGGGCUUUUUUGGAGAGCAUGUUAACACUCAGUAUCACUUACAUUUUGGUUUUUGGAUGGGAAAGGAGAGUAAUACACAUGUGUGAAUCUAACUGGGGUUUUCCCUCCAGCUAGCUUAAGGAUGGGCUCUUUUGGAGAGCAUGUUAACACUCAGACUUACUUAUAUUUUGGUUUUUCGAUGGAUAGGAGGGUAAUACACGUGUGAAUCUAACCGGGGUUUCACUCUAGCAAGCUCAAGGAUGGGCUUCUUUGGAGAGCAUGUUAACACUCAGUCUUACUUACAUUUUGGUUUUUGGAUGGAAAAGGAGAGUAAUACACAUGUAUGAAUCUAACUGGGGGUUCCCCUCCGGCUAGCUUAAGGAUGGGCUCCUUAAGAAUGCAUGUCUAACACUCGAUCUAACUUACAUUUUGGUUUUUGGAUGGAUAGGAGGGUAAUACACAUGUGUGAAUCUAACAUGGGUUUUCCCUCUAGCUAGCUUAAGGAUGGGCUCCUUUGGAGUGCGUGUCUAACACUAAGACUUAGUUGCAUUUGGUUUUGGAUGAAUAGGAGGGUAAUACACAUGUGUGAAUCUAACUUGGGAUUCCCCUCUAGCUAGCUUAAGGAUGGGCUCCUUUGGUGAGCAUGUCUAACAAUCAGACUUACUUACACUUUGGUUUUUGGAUGGAUAGGAGGGUAAUACACAUGUAUGAAUCUAACAGGGGUUUUCCCUCUAGCUAGCUUAAGGAUGGGCUCCUUUGGAGAGCAUGUCUAACACCCAGACUUACUUGCAUUUUGGUUUUUAGAUGAAUAGGAGGAUAAUACACAUGUGUGAAUCUAAUUGUGGUUUCCCUGUAGCUAGCUUAAGGAUGGGCUCCUUUAGAGAGCAUAUCUAACACUUAAACUUACUUACAUUUUGUUUUUGGAUGGAUAGGAGGGUAAUACACAUGUGUGAAUCUAAUUGGGGUUUCCCUUUAGCUAGCUAAAGGAUGGGCUCCUUUGGAGAGCAUGUCUAACACUCCGACUUACUUACAUUUUGGUUUGUGGAUGGAUAGGAGGGUAAUACACAUCUAUGAAUCUAACUGGGGUUUUUCCUCUUGCUGGCUUAAGGAUGGGCUCCUUUAGAGAGCAUGUCUAACAUUCAAACUUACUUACAUUUUGGUUUUUGGAUGGACAGGAGGGUAAUACACAUGUGGAUCUAACAUGGGUUUCCUCUUUAGCUGACUUAAGGAGUGAGAAUUUCACAUUGGGCUAGUCUGCUUUAAAUGCUGUCUCAUGCAGUCAUGCUACUUGAGAAAACACGAGAAAAUGUACUUGAAUAACUAACACAUGUUUAUUAUUCGCGUUUGAUACUUUAAGCUUCUUUGCAUCAUAAGUUGUGGAUCUCCUUAAUAGAGUCUAGUGACUCGUAAUAAUGUUAACGUCCUAAAGUAAAAUUUUAAUUUUUAAAAGAAUUGAUUUUGCUAUCCAAAGGAGGUUAACAAGAUAAUUUGUUGUCCGUUUGCAUUUCAUCUUAUUGAUGUAAACUAUUUUAUAUGAAUGAAAAGAUCUUUUUAUUCAUUAACACUUCUUACUCAUAAAUAUUUAACAUGAAGAAAUUAGUUUGUGAUUAUUAAUGAUAAUAAGUGAUUUAAUGUAUUUUAUAUAAGAAAAUUCAUCUGCUUAUUUCAAGUACACUUGCUUCCUAAAGUUAUGUUUAUUUACUACUAUUUCAACUUUACCAUAGUAAACCUAAAAUCAUAAAGAGAACUAACAAAAACUUGUUAGUAAUAAACUUUUUUGAAUGAAAUAGCAAAGCACUUAUACCCAUAAUAACAUUGUACUUGUACAACUUCAUCCACAAUAACAUACUUAUAUUCAUUUACCCAUAAUAACAACCAACUUACAUUUGUAAGCAAUUUACAUGUUCCUAUCAAUAAAAAAAAGUCCCCAACAAUAACCAAAGAUAAUGCAGUUAAAACAUAAAAAAAAAAACCCACCUAAUUCCAAUCUUUAUUCAUAAUAUAUAUAGUUAUAUUAUAUUAUAUACCUAGUUAUAGACAUGAUAUACCCCAAGACCUAAUGACAGUCGAGUCAACUCAGUCAAAACAGAAAACUUCAACAUAAACUUACUCUAUUAUUACCUUUACAAACAGAGAACAAACAAACUAGCUCAAAAUUUCACCUUUUUUUUUUUUUUUUUUAAUUUCACCAUGUUCCAAAGCUGCAUCCCACAUGAUCUUGAGUGAUGAUAUUUAGGCGUUCUCUCAUGAUAUCCAAUGAAGGGUAAGAUGGGAAACAAAUUCGAUAAAAACAUGUGUGAGAAGAUGGAAGAAGCUCUAUUGAAUCAUUGGUUUUGUAUAUGUAAAGCUUUGAAGCUAAUCCACCAAAACCUUCUAUUGGUAGAUGUUUUAAAGAUGUCCAAAAGAACAGAAGCACUUUUCUCUGAUUCCCUGUCAUUUCUUCAAUAAUCUGUGCAACAAAUAACUACUUUUAAUUAACAAGGUUAAAAAAGGAAAGAAAAAGAUGAGAAAUGACAGGUGGCAUACCUCCCAUAACCAUGAUAUUUGAGGAUCAGUUUCCUUAUACCCAUAAUACUCGGUAUGCUUCUUCCAAUCUUCCACUGAAAUAAUACUUUCACUUCCAUACAACAUUCCAUCAAGAUCCUCACAUUCUAAGCUUUUAAAAAACAAUUUCCUUAUUUUUUCUUCUCCAGCAAUAUCUGUAAACCCUUUAGCAAAAUAUGACACCUGUUCUGAAACAGAUGUCACAAACCUAUGCUCGAUAAGAAGAUCAACAUACUCCUUCCUGUUUCUACUAUUCACAACAAUGUUUUUUCCAUCUGCAAAAAGCUCCACAACUUUUCUUGAUCCUAGUUCUUCAAUUUCUCUAACGAAUGUUAACCCAAGGGCAUCUUCGUCAACUGUAGUGGGGUCCAUGUCUAAUAUCUGUUUGCAGCUGCUGUAUAAGUAUGGAUCUGCAUCUUUUAUGUCUUCUAGAGAGAUUGUGUUUCCUGAUAAUUGUGAGAAGAAUGAUCGAUCGAAUGCAAUUCCAACUUGGAUUUUGUGCAUUAAAGCUAAUGCGAUUAUUCUUCCUGCAAAGUUGAAGUAUUCAAGGUGCAAUGGGUCCACUUUAGAUGCUG